RNAcentral lists this long non-coding RNA (500 nucleotides) under Bemisia tabaci. Its description in RNAcentral is "lncRNA ENSSSA1NGG008614". Lineage: Eukaryota; Metazoa; Arthropoda; Insecta; Hemiptera; Aleyrodidae. The record is from RNAcentral.
AUGUUCACCCGCCGCGCGUAUUUCGCUCACGUGCUUGUGUUAUUUUUAAACUCGCCACUCAUUUUCGCCAGUUUAGAGGGUAACUGUUGUUCGAGGGCCGAAGGUGCAUGCCGAAGUGCUUGUGAGCAGGUAAGAAAGGAAUUUGCUUUCUUGAAUUUUGAAACCUGUCAUCAAUCUAUCUCCGUCAAAUUUUGCGGCCGAUACACAAGCCCGAUUGCAGCGAGUUGCAGAUCUCGAAAACGUUUGCAAUCCUCAAUUGGUAAGUUGAUUUCUGUAUAUUUGUAUUAUCGAGCAUUGCAGCAUGCCUUUUAUUUUAAACCUUUCAAAUCCUUCACUCCCAGUUAGUCGCAAUGUCUCGUAUUAUUUUCACCUCGCAUUCCACUGUUAUUUUAUUUUAACCAUAAACAGCUUCAACUAGUCAAAAAUGCUUAAUUUGUGCCAGCAACCGAUAGCAAACAUUUCAUGUGAUCAGAGAGUAUAUCUUGUAGAAAAUGAUGCGC